RNAcentral lists this ribosomal RNA (459 nucleotides) under uncultured bacterium. Its description in RNAcentral is "partial 16S ribosomal RNA". It matches the Rfam family "Bacterial small subunit ribosomal RNA", at positions 338 to 795 of the family's 1533-position model. The record is from RNAcentral.
CCUACGGGGGGCAGAAGUGAGGAAUAUUGGUCAAUGGGAGAGAUCCUGAACCAGCCAAGCCGCGUGAGGGAAGACGGCCCUAUGGGUUGUAAACCUCUUUUGUCGGAGAACAAAACCCGGGACGUGUCCCGGACCGCGUGUAUCCGAAGAAAAAGCAUCGGCCAACCACGUGCCCGCAGCCGCGGUACUACGGGGGAUGCGAGCGUUAUCCGGAUUUAUUGGCUUUCAAGGGUGCGUAGGCGGUCCGUUAAGUCAGCGGUAAAAUUGCGGGGCUCAACCCCGUCGAGCCGUUGAAACUGGCAGACUUGAGUUGGCGAGAAGUACGCGGAAUGCGCGGUGUAGCGGUGAAAUGCAUAGAUAUCGCGCAGAACUCCGAUUGCGAAGGCAGCGUACCGGCGCCAGACUGACGCUGAGGCACGAAAGCGUGGGGAUCGAACAGGAUUAGAUACCCUUGUAGUC